This 324-nucleotide ribosomal RNA is filed under the name uncultured eukaryote. RNAcentral describes it as "partial 18S ribosomal RNA". It matches the Rfam family "Eukaryotic small subunit ribosomal RNA", at positions 1470 to 1796 of the family's 1831-position model. The record is from RNAcentral.
CCCUUAGAUGUUCUGGGCCGCACGCGCGCCACACUGAUGCAUUCAACGAGUUUCUUCCUGGUCCGAGAGGAAUGGGUAACCUUUUGAAAGUGCAUCGUGAUAGGGAUAGACUAUUGCAAUUAUUGGUCUUCAACGAGGAAUUCCUAGUAGACGUAGUUCAUCAGACUGCAUCGAUUACGUCCCUGCCCUUUGUACACACCGCCCGUCGCUCCUACCGAUUGAAUGCUCAGGUGAGCCAUUCGGACUUUCAUCAUGCCGGUUUCCAGUUUUGAUGAAGGAAAGUCUUGCGAACCUUAUCAUUUAGAGGAAGGAGAAGUCGUAACA